Favolaschia claudopus is the source of this 103-nucleotide non-coding RNA. The record is from the annotation of a GenBank genome assembly. Lineage: Eukaryota; Fungi; Basidiomycota; Agaricomycetes; Agaricales; Mycenaceae.
GCAUUAAUGGGGUAGUGGUAACCUGGGUCGUUGCCAUACGAGGGUGCGUACGAAGUCUGUUUGGACUCUCGACCCGCCGGGGGUUCGAUUCCCCCUUAAUGCA